GAGACAACGUCCCGUCAGUGUUUGGCCUGGAUGUGACAGACGUGUCGAGGUGGGAGGAGACGGUGCUGAACCCUGCACUGCAGAUACUGGACAGCCUCAGUAAGGGUGAAGAACCAGCUAUUGCUCCAAUCAGAGUGCAGGCGGCGGAGCAGAGAAACAAACGCAGCCACCACACCUGUGACCUGUGUGACAAAGUCAUCAUUGGUGACCUGGAGUGGACAGCUCACCUGAAAUCCAAGAAGCAUCACUAUCAUGUGAGGAAAAAGAGGAAGCUUGAUCCAGCCGGUGACCGGUCCCUGAGUGCCGGUGCACCUCCAGUGUCUGCAGGAGAGACUCUCUCAGAGGACUCUGGUGCUACUGUUGCCCCGGGCUGCACUGAAGCCUCUCAGGAUUCCUCCAAAGACACCAGGACGACACACAAGGAAGUACCUGUGACAUUUUAAAAGCUGGACUACAUCCAUUUUCGUUCACGUUUGUGCACCAACAAAUGGAUGUUUAAUUACAGUCCUCUGUUUCCUCCCAUGGAGCCAAAUGGAAGUAAUAACUCUGAACUGUGCUGAUUGUUGAUACGAACAAAAAAAAACACGUUUGAAAUCCUGCAUAAAUACGUUCAUAAGUGAAUGUUCACAGACAGAAGCGUUGGUCUUGAGGUUUUUGUCGUAGGGAUGUGAACUCUAAAGGACAAAUGAGAUGUUUAAUGGCCUGUGCAGCUGAAGAAUUCUGCAUUUUAAUGUUUUGGGUUUUUCUUUAAUUUACAUUUUAAGAGGUUUAUUUUUCUAUUUCUACAGAUUG
Stegastes partitus (bicolor damselfish) is the source of this 792-nucleotide long non-coding RNA. RefSeq lists it as uncharacterized. NCBI's taxonomy places the organism in Eukaryota, Metazoa, Chordata, Actinopteri, Pomacentridae. The record is from RefSeq and is a predicted model, not a curated record. The transcript has 3 exons.